CAGCCGCCGCGGUAACACAGAGGGUGCGAGCGUUAAUCGGAUUUACUGGGCGUAAAGCGUGCGUAGGCGGCUUUUUAAGUCGGAUGUGAAAUCCCUGAGCUUAACUUAGGAAUUGCAUUCGAUACUGGGAAGCUAGAGUAUGGGAGAGGAUGGUAGAAUUCCAGGUGUAGCGGUGAAAUGCGUAGAGAUCUGGAGGAAUACCGAUGGCGAAGGCAGCCAUCUGGCCUAAUACUGACGCUGAGGUACGAAAGCAUGGGGAGCAAACAGGAUUAGAUACCCCCGUAGUCCCUGUCUCUUAUAC
This 301-nucleotide ribosomal RNA is filed under the name uncultured bacterium. Its description in RNAcentral is "partial 16S ribosomal RNA". It matches the Rfam family "Bacterial small subunit ribosomal RNA", at positions 509 to 807 of the family's 1533-position model. The record is from RNAcentral.